CAGGAAGUAGUUUAAUAAGAAUAUCAGCUUUGGGUGCUGGGGGUGGGACAGAGUGUCUUCUUCCUGA
This 67-nucleotide transfer RNA is filed under the name Elephantulus myurus (eastern rock elephant shrew). Its description in RNAcentral is "tRNA-Pro". The record is from RNAcentral. RNAcentral also lists the same sequence under 1 other name. Lineage: Eukaryota; Metazoa; Chordata; Mammalia; Macroscelidea; Macroscelididae.